AGACCAUCAAGAGAGAUUGAGGGACUGGCCCUAUGACAUCUCAGCAACCUGCUUUUACAAGUGUGGUGCUAACUCCUGAUAGAUGGAUG
Molecule: non-coding RNA, 89 nt
Filed under: Fusobacterium mortiferum
Lineage: Bacteria; Fusobacteriati; Fusobacteriota; Fusobacteriia; Fusobacteriales; Fusobacteriaceae
Description: SAM-I sequence
Rfam family: SAM riboswitch aptamer (S box leader)
About the family: The SAM riboswitch is found upstream of a number of genes which code for proteins involved in methionine or cysteine biosynthesis in Gram-positive bacteria. The SAM riboswitch acts at the level of transcription termination control.
Source: RNAcentral